GAAAGUCCAUGCAGCUGAAACCCAAAGGUAGUUUGGAGAAAAAGUUGAACACUUGAAACAUGAUAAUGAUUAUUACACAAACUUGUAUUCUAACUCCUACAUGUGUAAGCACACAUAUACAUAUUUACGAAAUUAGCACUACAUAUUCACUGGAAAUGAAUUGCAUAUUCAGUGGUGAUGCUUUAGUAACAAUAGAACACCUAUGCAUUUAUGCAAGAGUGAUUCAUCAUUCAUAUGCAAUAUAGGGAAUAUCAAUGGGCAUAUUAUUAACUUUCCUGAUACAAAAACAUCAUGGAUUUUGUUAUUAUGACAUCAUUUGACCUGUUUUUAAAUUUAAAAUGAUUUCAUGACUGCAUAAUCACAGUAUUAUGAAUUAUGAAGACUCGUUAUACAACAU
This 397-nucleotide unclassified non-coding RNA is filed under the name Hevea brasiliensis (rubber tree). The record is from RNAcentral. Lineage: Eukaryota; Viridiplantae; Streptophyta; Magnoliopsida; Malpighiales; Euphorbiaceae.